Mycena latifolia is the source of this 96-nucleotide non-coding RNA. Lineage: Eukaryota; Fungi; Basidiomycota; Agaricomycetes; Agaricales; Mycenaceae. The record is from the annotation of a GenBank genome assembly.
GCCGUCGUCGACCAGUGGAAGGUCGUACUCAAAGUGUCGGUACCAUCUGCGUUUGGGCAUCCGAGGAAGACAGGGGUUCGAUUCCCCUCGGCGGAA